Molecule: ribosomal RNA, 420 nt
Filed under: uncultured bacterium
Lineage: Bacteria
Description: bacterial SSU rRNA
Rfam family: Bacterial small subunit ribosomal RNA
Source: RNAcentral
AGUGAACGCUGGCGGCAGGCCUAAUACAUGCAAGUCGAACGGCAGCACAGUGGAGCUUGCUCCAUGGGUGGCGAGUGGCGGGACGGGUGAGGAAUACAUGGGAAUCUGCCCAGUCGUGGGGAUAACGUAGGGAAACUUACGCUAAUACCGCAUGCGCCCUUCGGGGGAAAGCCGGGGGACCGUAAGGCCUGGCGCGAUUGGAUGAGCCCAUGUCGGAUUAGCUAGUUGGCGGGGUAAAGCCCACCAAGGCGACGAUCCGUAGCUGGUCUGAGAGGAUGAUCAGCCACACUGGAACUGAGACACGGUCCAGACUCCUACGGGAGGCAGCAGUAGGGAAUAUUGGACAAUGGGCGCAAGGCCCUGAUCCAGCCAUGCCGCGUGAGUGAAGAAGGCCCUCGGGUUGUAAAGCUCUUUGUCCGG